Molecule: regulatory RNA element, 117 nt
Rfam family: ALIL pseudoknot
Source: Rfam
CGCGUAUUUUGCGAAGGCGGAGUUCGACCGCCUCUGGAAAAAAUUACGCCCCUGGUGGAUACCUUGCGCAGCAAACACGGGGUCGGAUCGGUAUGCCACGAGCUGGAUAUCGCCCCG